CUUGAACUCCUGAGAUCAAGUGAUCUUCCCACUUCAGUCUCCGAAAGUGCUGGGAUUACAGCAUCUCUUCGAAGAUUUCCCUGGGGAGAAGCACUGUGUUUACCCAGAAGGGAGUCGGGUUCCCCAGGAGCUCUCGGGGAUCAUUCCCCAGCGAUGGGGAAGACAGCAGGAUGCCGGAGGACUUGGGGCCUUAUUGAUGAGAUGCGGACACACAGCAAAGAGCACGUUUUCCCCACCUUUUCCUGUCAGUAACCUGUCCUUCAAGUUUUUGCCUGGACAUCACCUCCUCCAGGAAACCUUCCCUGAACACCACCCAGCCUCCACCUGCUGCGGUUGGAUUACUCAUUCUGUCAUAUAAGAAAACCGAGGCUCAGAAUGGAAGUUCAUUGCUCAACAUCAAACACCCAGGAAAUGAUGGCGCCUGAAUGGGAGCUCAACUUCCAACGUGGCCCAUCCCUUGCUGACCUCACUGGGUCUGUCUUAUGACAGUAUGAGGUGAGUGAACUUGAGAGGAAUUGUUGAGAGCUGGGUGGGGAAAGAAGGGAGGUGUUAGGCUGUGGGGAGUGGAAGACUUUGAAAAGAAAGAAAUUCCUAACUCUAACCCUUCUCUGGUGACCUUUGUGGUUUGCCAUCUCCGCAUUCCUUGAAUGCCCAUUUACUGGAUAUUUUGCUCCAGAUUGACCUGCUCUGCAAAAAUCUUCAAUAAAUAAAUCCUUUUG
Molecule: long non-coding RNA, 719 nt
Organism: Cebus imitator (Panamanian white-faced capuchin)
Lineage: Eukaryota; Metazoa; Chordata; Mammalia; Primates; Cebidae
Exons: 4
Source: RefSeq, a predicted model, not a curated record